GGGCAGUCCUGGCGGCGUCAGGGCCGCGACCGGACCGUGGGCCCCGCCCGCCCGACCGCAGAUGCAGAGCCGGCCUCCGGGCUCGGGGCCGGGCUGACACGGCCGAGAAAGGGCCCAGCCCCGCGCGGACCACAGACUGGCAGGCCGGCCAGACAGACGGACAGGCUGACCCCGGCCCGGGGGAGCAGGCGCAGCGGCUGCGCAGCUGCAUAAUAUUUCAUUGUAUGGAUAAACUACACAGUUCCCAGUGAUGAAGACCAAGAUUGUUCCCAAUCUGUUUGCUAUUAUAAACAGUGUUGCAACAAACAGGCUUUGUGUGUAUCAUUUCAUAUGAGUACAAGAGUUUCUGUAGACUUGACAAUAAAAAGAUAACCCAAUUGAAAAAACAGACAAAGGAUUUGAAUAGUCAUUGCUCCAAAGAAGAUAUGAUAAGUAUAUUAAAAAGUUGCUCACCAUCAUUACCCAUUAGGGAAAUGCAAAUCAAAACCACAGUGAGAUACUGCACAUUCACUAGGAUGGCUAUAAUCAAAAAGACACAUAAUAACAAGUGUCUUAGUUCAUUUCAGCUGCUAUAACAAAAUAUCGCAGACUGGUUGGCUCAAACAACAGAAAUGUUAUUUCUCAUGGUUCUGGAGGCUGGGAAGUCCAAGAUCAAGGGGCUGGCUGAUUUGGUUUCUGGUGAGCCCUCUCUUCUGGGCCUGUAGAGGACCACUGUUGCACUGAGUACCUAGGACCUUUUUUUCCUCUGCAUGUGUAGAGAGAGAGAGACAGAAAGAGAGCACACAAAUGUAUGCUGGUGUUUCUUUCUCUUUUAUUUUUAUCAACUUAAUUUAAUUUUUAGAUUUCAAAUUAUGAAAUAUUUAAAGAAUACAGUAAAGUACAGAAAAAUAUAAUUGACCUCUAUAUAGCCCAUUCACUUGAUUUAACAAAUGUGUGGUAUUUUGCCAUGUUUACUUCAGAACUCGCUCUUUUUGUAGAAAAUAAAAAUAUUAAAUACAUAGCUAAAGCCCAAUCUCAUCCCUUCCCGCUCCCUCUCCUCAUGUUAACCACUAGCCUGAAAUUAUGUUUUUAUACUUUUAUUGCAUAUUUGAAUGAGAUCAUAAAUAAUACAUUGGCAGCUUUUUUCCAAUAUUUUUAUUGUGCUAAAAUACAUACAACAUGAAAUUUACCAUCUUAACCAUUUUAAAGCAUAUAGUUCAGUGGCAUUAAACACGUUCAUAAAGUUGUGUGACCGUUACCCCAAUUCAUCUCCAUAACUCUUUUCAUCUUACAAAAUUGAAACUCCAUUAAACAAUAACUCCCCAUUUCCACUUCCCCCUAGCCCCUGGAAACCACCAUUGUACUUUCUAUCAUUAUGAUUUUGACCACUCUAAGUACCUUAUGUAAGUGGAAUCAUACAGAAUUUGUCUUUUUGUGGCUGGCUUAUUUCACUAGUAUAAUGUCCUCAGGGUUCAUCCAUGUUAUAACAUAUUGCAGAAUCUCCUUCCUUUUUUAGGGCUGAGGAAUAUUCCAUUGUAUGGACAUAUCAUCUUUUGCUUAUCUAUUCAUCCACUGAUGGACAUCUGGGGUGCUUCCACACUGUAGCUAUUGUGAGUAAUACCGCUAUGAACAUGGGUUGAUAAAUAUCUUCCUCUUCUUAUAAGUGCACCUAUAAGAGCCAUAUUAGGGCCUCACCCUUAUGAUAAAGGUAUAACCUUUAUCACCUUCUCACAGGUCCUAUCUCUAAUACAAUGACAUAGAGCUUCAACACAUAUAUUUUGAAGGGACACAAACAUUUAGUCCAAGACAAUGGAUGAGAAUAUGGAGAAAUUGGAACUCUAAUACAUUGCUGGUGGGAAUGUAAAAUGGUACAGCAAAUUUGGAAAACAGUUUGGAAGUUCUUCAAAAUGUUAACAUGGAGUUAUCAUGUGACCCAGAAAUUAUCCUAGGUAUACAACUAAGAGAAAUAAUAACACGUUCAUAAAAUUGCACAAAAGCUUGUACAUGACUGUUCAUAGCAGCAUUAUUCAUAAUAGCAAAAAAUAAAAAUAAUCCAGAUGUCAUCAACUGAUGAAUGGAUAAACGUGGCAUAUUCAUAUGAUGAAAUAUGAUUUGGCAAUAAAAAGAAAUGAAGUACUGAUACAGGCUACAACACAGAUGAACCUUAAAAACAUUAUGCUAAGUGAAAGAAGCCAGUUGUGAAGGAUCACGUACGAUUCCAUUUAUAUAAAAUGUUCAGAAUAGGCAAAACUAUAUACAGAGAAAGUAGAUUAGUGGUGGCCUAGGGCUGGAGAAAUUGGUAGAAAAUGGAAGUGACUCCUUAAUGGGUAUGAAAUGUUAGGGGAGAGAUGAAAAUGUUUUAAAAUAAAUUGUGGUAAAGGUUGCACAACUCUGAAAACAAACUAAAAUUUGUUGACUUAUACACUUUAAAUGGGUGAAUUGUGUGGUAUGGGAAUUAGAUCUUAGAAGAGCUGUUAAAGAAAAAAAAAGUUUCUUGUAGAAUAAAUUCCCAGAACUGGGACUGUUGGGUCAAAGGGAAAAUGCAUUUAAAAUUUUUUACAUUUUUACCCUCAUCAGCAAUGUAUGAAAUAGCAAGGCAGGUACAUUUUAUGUAGGAGGAAACUGAGGCACGGACAAUCCAAAAUCACAUAAUUAAUAACACCCGAGCUGUGACUGAAAUCAGGUCUGUUGGACUCCAAAACAUGUGCUCUGCUGCAGACAAUUCAUUUGGUAUUUUUCCAAUAGUCAUUUGAUCUUCUUUAAAAAAAAAAAAAAAAACGUAACUUUUGAUUGCAUUGAUUUUCUUUGUUGCUUUUUCGUUUUUCUAUAUCAUUUAUUUCUGCUCUGAUCUUUAUUAUUUCCUUUUUUUCUGCUGAUUUUGGUUAAAUUCACUCUUCUUUUUUCUAUUUCUUAAGAUAGAAGCUGAUAACACUAUUUGAGACCUUUCUUCUUUUCUAAUAUAGGUGUCUAGUCCUAUAAAUUUCCCCCUAAGUACUGCUUUAGUGGUAUCCUACAAAUUCUGAUAUGUUGCAUUUUUAUUUUCACUUGGAUCAAAAUACUUUCUAAUGUCUCUUUUGAUUUUUUUUUAACUUGGAGGUUAUUUAAAGUGUCUUAUUUUGUUCUCAACUAUUUGGGGAUUUUCCAGAUCCCUUUUUGUUAUUGAUUUGUAAUUUAAUUCCACUGUGGUCAGAGAACAUGCUUUGACUAAUUUUAGAUGUAUUGAAAUUUGUUUUAUGGUCAGAAUAUGGUCUAUCUUGAUAAAUGUUUUUAUGUACACUGAAAAAUGUGUAUUCUUCUGUUGUUGGGUAAAGUGUUUUAUAAAUGUCAGUUAAGUUGGUUGAUAGUGUUGUUCAAGUUUACUAUACAUUCUUGAUGAUUUUCUGCCUGCUUGUUCUAUCAAUUAUUGAGAGAGGGACAUUGAAAUAUCUCCAACUGUAAUUGUAGAUUUGUACAUUUUUCCUUGUAAUUCUAUCAGGUUUUACUUAAUGUAUUUUGAAACUCUGCUAUUAGGUGUAUAAAUGUUUGGCACUGUUAUAUUUUCUUAAUGAACUAAACACUUUAUCAUUAUGAAAUGACUCUUUAUCUCUGGUAAUAUUCUUCACUUGAAAUCUACUUUGUAUUAUAUUAAUAUAGCCAUUUCAGUUUUCUGUUGAUUAUUGUUAGCACAGUACAUCUUUACUCAUAAUUUUUACUUACUUUAACUUAUUUCAUAUUUAAAGUGGAUUUCUUUCUUUCUUCUUUUUUUUUGAGAGGGAGUCUCGCUGUGUUGCCUAGGCUGGAGUGCAGUGGCACAAUUUUGGCUCACUGCAACCUCCACCUCAUGGAUUCAAGCGCUUCUCCUGUCUCAGCCUCCCAGGUAGCCACCACACCCAGCUAAUUUUUGUAUUUUUAGUAGAGACAGGGUUUUGCCAUGUUGGCCAGGCUGGUCUUGAACUCCUGGCCUCCAGUGAUCUGCCCAGCUCAGCCUCCCAAGUUGCUGGGAUUAUAGGCAUGAGCCACUGAGCCCAGCCUAAAGUGGAUUUCUUAGAAAUCCACUAUGAAUCAAGAUUCAUAGAAUUGAAUCUUGCUCUGUACAAACAAUCUGACAGUUUGGCUUUUUAACUGUGGUAUUUAGACCAUUUAUACUGAAUGCGAUUAUUGAUAUGAUUAGGUUUAAAUCUACCUGCUUGCUAUUUGUUCCAUGUAUUGUUUCUUCUCUUUUCCCUCUUUUUCUGCCUUUUUUGGAUUGGAUAUUUUGUGACUUCAUUUUAUCUCCUUUAUUAGCUUAAUUAGAUACAACUACUUUUUAGUGGUUACUUUUGGGUUUAUAGUGUACAUCCUCAAUCCCAAACCACUUUGAGUAAUAUUAUACCACUUCACACAGAGUAAGAACCUUACAACAGCAUGCUUCUCUUUCCUCCUUCACAACCUUUAGGCUAUUGUUGUCAUGUGUUUAAUUUCUAUAUAUGUUAUAAACCC
Homo sapiens (human) is the source of this 4437-nucleotide long non-coding RNA. The record is from Ensembl. Lineage: Eukaryota; Metazoa; Chordata; Mammalia; Primates; Hominidae.